GGUUAACCACUGCUGGGAGGAAGGAUCUGCGAUAACGCUCCUUUGUGCAUUUAGGAUGCAGCAGUCUGUCACUGAAGGAGCUCUUUAGCAAGGAUUAUUUUACCUUCUGUAUCCCACCAGCUGUUCUAAGAAAGAUGACAUGGUUAUGUCCACAUUGUUUUAGCUAAAACAUCAAAGAUUUCUGAGAUUAAACCCGUUCGUACGGAAGAAUGUAAAUCAGCCUUUCACUCUGAGGAAACUCUCCAACUUUUUUCAAACACUCACAUUAUUCUGCUUAUUAAAAUCACACCAUGUUUGAUUAUUUCCCCCCAGGAUGAAGUUUGAUUUUAUAUUUAAUUUCAUUUGCAUCUGGACUUCAGGUCAUAUGGAUGUAAAAUUUCAGCAGCUUUAAAAGAUCUAAGGACAUUUCCAGAGGUGAGUAGUAACUAAUUAGAUUUACUCAUCUUAUUAUUUUCAUUUUGGUCUAUAGAAUACCAUGAUUUGUACACAGCUUUGUAUUUUUGUCUUUCUGAUGACAACAUUCCAAAUAUCAAAUCAGAUAUCAGUACUUGAGUCUUCUUUUUACCAAAUAGUUUUUACUAACACUUGAGUAGUUUAGUUUCUUUUUACUUUUACUCCAGUAAAAGUAUGUUGAAGUAGAGCUAUUCUGACUCGAGUACACUUUUUUUUGUCCUCUUCUCUCCUCUGCAAGUUUCUCUAUUGGAGACCAAAUAAACAAAACAUGUUGCAGUUCCAUAAAACAAGCAGCAGGGGGCGAUCUUCUCCACCGGCAGGACCCGCACCAUGCGGCAGCUGAUGUCACAGGAAGUCGGGGUCAGGACAUCUUAUGAGCUGGAGGCUGGACUAAAACGAUCCAAAGUGCAGCUUCAGCGGUACUCGAUAUGAUCAGCACGGCUUUCUACCCAGGGCAGCACAGACUGUGGGGCACCACAAAAUGAAAGACAUCAAAAAGCAGGAUUAACCUUUCUGGGGAAGGGAGUGAAUGUCUGUCAGCGUUUGGGACAGCAGAAGGGAGGCGCCAUUUGGCAAUGACCGUCGUAUUUAUCCCUCUGUAAGCUGGGAUGGCUGGUCAGCUCCAGUACAAACCAGUGUCCUCUCCAGACCCCUUCAUCAUGCGCUCGAUUUCACCAAAGCGGUCAGACUGACCUGGACUAAACAAACUGGAAGAAUAGCGACACAGAUCCGCCUAAUGGUCGCCGUUUAACUCCAUUCAUCUGCUGUCCAUUAUGCCCGUUCCCUCUUUGAGGACAGGAUUAUAGACGGCCUCAGUCACAAAGGUCAGAGGGCCGAGCAGACACUCCCACACCUCCGUGACCCGCUCUGAUCCCACGACCUCGGCACCAGCGGGCCCCCGCUCCCGGACCCGGCUUUCCCUCCCCGCCAGUUGACCGGCUUUGUCCUGUUUGUCCCGACCCGUUUUCUGCCGUAUCACUCACACACAUCAGCAGCAAGCUGAACAAUCAGGGGAUGGAAACCUGAUUACUGAGCAGCAACACUGCAAUCCACACCACACGCAAAUAACAGCAAGGAAAAAAAUGAUUUUUAAUACGAAUAUUCUGUUUUAUGAUCUUUUACUCCAUUUGAUUGGACUGAAUUCGAUCAUUUCCCAUUUCUUGAUCAUUUCUUCUAUUGCUUCUUCCUUUUUGUGUUGGAUCGUGAAAACUCUUAU
Long non-coding RNA from Xiphophorus hellerii (green swordtail), 1669 nucleotides. RefSeq lists it as uncharacterized. The transcript is spliced from 3 exons. The record is from RefSeq and is a predicted model, not a curated record. NCBI's taxonomy places the organism in Eukaryota, Metazoa, Chordata, Actinopteri, Cyprinodontiformes, Poeciliidae.